GAACUUCUGGUAUAUGAUAAAAAAUAAUUUAAGAUUUGAGUAGGGUUACUAUACUCUUAUGAGUAUUGGACCCUUCAUACUCAUAAGUUGUUUUCGAUGAUGGGACUUCCGAAUCGACGAUCCACUCCGUUAAAUAUGAUCUACAGUAUUUGAAACUUCUAAAAAAUAAAUUUCGUAAUUUUUUGAAAUCAUAAUAAAGUCUAUCAAACGGGCAUAAAAUGAACGGUCAAAAUCGAACGACAUCCUAAAAAUGGAUGAUCGGAUUCUUCAAUUUAAGAUCGAAAUUAUUGAUCUUUAUGUAGGUAGUGAAUAGAAUUUUCUAUCAAAAAUUCAACCGAUUCCGAUUCUUUUACACCGUUAAACUAGCAAGUAUCCCAUAUCGGCCGCUAAAAAUUGUCAAUUUUGUGAGUUUUUGAUCGUAAGGCAAAUGAUGUCAAAAAAUUAUGAAAUUUGAUUUCUGAAAGUUUUAAAUACUCUAGAUAAUAUUUAACGGUACGGAUCGUCGAUUCGAAAACUCUAUCAUCGAAAACGACUUAUGAGUACGAGGACGAUCGUACUCAUAAGAGUAUAGUAGCCGGACUCUUAAGAUAUAAUUAAUUAAGGCUAAAAUGUAGAUAAGCCUUCUCUAAAUAUCCUGUUUUGCACUUUCUGCCCUUAUCUUUUUAAAAAUUCUCUAUUUUACUCCCUUACAAUUUAAAGUUGUAACACUUUGUCCAACACCAUUAUUACUUCGGCANUUUUUUUUAUAUAAUUUAACAUGAUAUCAAAAUAGAAAAUUUUAAGUUCAAAUCCGCUCAUAAUGUUAUUUAAUUUUCUCUCAUUCAAUAAAAUUCACAUUUCGAACUUGUCACGAAAUCGCAAAUCAAGAUAUAAGAAAAAGUAUAGAUUAUAAAUAUUAAAAAAUACUGUUAUGCAUGCAAUACAAAAAAAAUAUGCCCUUAGUCUGUGUGUGCACGUGACAAGCUAUAAUUUAUUACAUGCACCACAGUGUGUAUAAUACAUCAAGAUCUUCAAAAGUCACAAGAGGCCUUGAAAUCUAUAUCAAAACCAAUAUGAAUUUUCCCAUUACCCUUGAGGUCUUACUGUCUCACCCAUAUAUCUUAAUUUAUCAUCUGAAUGAAUGAAGUGGGUAGCGAACUAUCUUUUUUUCAAAAAAAAAUAAAAGAAGCAAAGAGUGAUCGAUUUAAUUUUAACACUAUUAACUUUUGCAAUUAUUUAAUGUGCAGAUAUUAGACUUUAAAAAAUUAUAAUAUGUGAUAAACAAAUUAUUUAGAGGUUGAGAGAAAAAUAGCAUGCUAUCUCUUAAUUUUGUUUCUUUUUUGGAAAUAAAUUUAGCUAAAAAUAUAAAAAAACUAAGAUUCAAACUUAAAAUCACGGAUAUCAACUAACAAGUCCUUAACAAACUAUGCUAAAUACAAUCAGUGAGUUCUAAUAUUCAUUUGGAUAAAGCACUUUGCUCCUAAGUUUUCGAAAAGAAAAGUAACCUAUUGGAUUAUAUGAUUCAUAAACAUUUAUAUAAGGCUAAUCCUAAAUUUCACGCACUACCAAAUUAAUAAUCUAUAACUAAAAUUCUUAAAUAAGUACUAUUUUUUUGACCCAUAAGUUUGGCCAGUGCUCUUCUAAUCCUCCUCUAGACGAUAACAAAUUCAGUAGAGUGUUUGGCAAAUAGAACAGUCGAGAACUUUUGCCGUGGAAGGAACUAGAAUUAAAAUUUGCAGUCUCUACUCUCUGUAAGGAAAGGAAAGUGUGGCAUAAGCAAAAAACACAAACAUCGAUCAUCGUAUAUAUUCUCCAAUCUAAUUUUGAACUUCUGGUAUACUGAAAAAAAUAAUUUAAGAUUUGAGUAGGGCUACUAUACUCUUAUGAGUAUUAGACCCUUCGUACUCAUAAGUUGUUUUCGAUGAUGGGACUUCCGAAUCGACGAUCCACUCCGUUAAAUAUGAUCUACAGUAUUUGAAACUUCUAAAAAAUAAAUUUCGUAAUUUUUCGAAAUCAUAAUAAAAUCUAUCAAACGGGCAUAAAAUGAACGGUCAAAAUCGAACGACGUCCUAAAAAUGGAUGAUCGAAUUCUUCAAUUUAAGAUCGGAAUUAUUGAUCUUUAUCUAGAUAGUGAAUAGAAUUUUCUAUCAAAAAUUCAACAUAUUCCAAUUCUUUUACACCGUUAAACUAACAAGUAUCCCAUAUCGGCCGUUAAAAAUUAUCAAUUUUGUGAGUUUUUUAUCGUAAGGUAAAUAAUGUUAAAAAAUUAUGAAAUUUGAUUUCUGAAAGUUUUAAAUGCUCUAGAUAAUAUUUAACGGUACGGAUCGUCGAUUCGAAAGCUCUAUCAUCGAAAACGACUUAUGAGUACGAGGGCGAUCGCACUCGUAAGAGUAUAGUAGCCGGACUCUUAAGA
This 2392-nucleotide long non-coding RNA is filed under the name Ananas comosus (pineapple). RNAcentral describes it as "long non-coding RNA (ACOM_LNC018550)". Lineage: Eukaryota; Viridiplantae; Streptophyta; Magnoliopsida; Poales; Bromeliaceae. The record is from RNAcentral.